Molecule: ribosomal RNA, 711 nt
Filed under: Epischura nevadensis
Lineage: Eukaryota; Metazoa; Arthropoda; Copepoda; Calanoida; Temoridae
Description: partial large subunit ribosomal RNA
Rfam family: Eukaryotic large subunit ribosomal RNA
Source: RNAcentral
UCGACCUGACAUCAAGGGAGACUACCCGCCGAAUUUAAGCAUAUUAAUAAGCGGAGGAAAAGAAAACAACUGUGAUUCCCUUAGUAAUGGCGAAUGAAACGGGAAUAGCCCAUCGCCGAACCGCUGGUCAUCCAGGCCAUGCGGAAUGUGGCGUUUGGAAGGGUCUCUUCCAAGGCUCAGACGCCUGUCAAAGUCCAACUUGACAGUGGCCACAGCCCAUAGAGGGUGAUAGGCCCGUAAGGCGGUUGUCUGGCUUUGCUGACCUCUUCCUAGAGUCGGAUUGCUUGAGAGUGCAGUCCAAAGUGCGAGGUAAACUCCUCGUAAGGCUAAAUAUGACCCCAAGACCGAUAGAAAACAAGUACAGUGAUGGAAAUUUGAAAAGAACUUUGAAGAGAGAGUUAAGAGUACGUGAAACUGUGCGGCAGUAAACGAAGCCUUCCUCGAAGUUUGCCCGGUGGACCCAACCUAGCCAUUGGGCAGCCCCUGCAGUCUGAUCAGCAAUGACGGGCUGUGGGGCGCUUGCCUAGUCGACGGGUGCAUCUCCACCGGGCUUGACGGUAGGAACUGUUGGGACUGGACCUAAGGCCUGGGAUGAAGUUCUCGCUCCGGCGUUAGCUCCCGGUGUCCUGGCUCCGGACCCGACAGGCGUGUGGCCGACUUGUACAGCAAGCAACCCUUCUGUUGCGGUCGGCCGUUCUCUACCGAGUAGGU